Non-coding RNA from Corylus avellana, 1641 nucleotides. NCBI's taxonomy places the organism in Eukaryota, Viridiplantae, Streptophyta, Magnoliopsida, Fagales, Betulaceae. The record is from RefSeq and is a predicted model, not a curated record.
CCGGGAGUUCCAUGUCAACGGGAAUUCAAAUCUUCAUCAAGGGUUUAUUAAAGCUCUAAAUUAUUGAGAUGAGAUUCUCUUUUAAAGCCACGAGCUGACGAGCAUCAGCAGUAGCAUAGAGGGAGAGAACCAGAGAAAAGAUAUUGCGCCAUCGUCAUGGGAACCGUUAUCGACUCCCAUUUCUUAGGCCUAACUGCCAUUGUCACUGUGGGGUAUCAGUUUUUGUUCUUUAUAGUCACAGCCCUUCUCAAAUUCGAUAAAGUCACUGACUUUGCCGGAAGCACAAAUUUUGUGAUAAUUGCGAUAUUGACUCUGAUUCUGAAAGGCACAUGGAAUUUUAGACAGAUAGUCCUGACUUUGCUUGUAUUCAUAUGGGGUCUUCGCCUGGGAUUGUUUCUGUUAAUGAGGAUCUUGCAGUGGGGGGAGGAUAGACGUUUUGAUGAAAUGCGUAGUAAUUUGGGAAAGCUGGCAAUAUUCUGGAUAUUUCAGGCUGUCUGGGUGUGGACAGUUAGUUUGCCUGUCACAGUGGUUAAUUCAAGCUCAAGAAAUCCAUCUCUCCAGGCUGCGGACAUAGUUGGCUGGAUUAUGUGGUCAGUGGGUUUUUUAAUUGAAGCAACAGCUGAUCAGCAAAAAUUGGUAUUCAAAAACUCUCCAGAAAAUAGAGGGAGAUGGUGCAAUGUUGGAAUCUGGAAAUACUCUCGUCAUCCCAACUAUUUUGGCGAGAUUCUCCUCUGGUGGGGAAUAUUUGUGGCUUCCACACCGGUACUAGAAGGUGCUGAGUGGCUUGUAAUCCUUGGGCCAUUCUUCCUCACAUUGUUGCUUCUUUUCAUCAGUGGCAUACCAUUGCUUGAGGUAUCGGCAGAUAAGAAGUUUGGGAAUGUAGCUGAAUAUAGGCUUUAUAAAAGAAGAACUAGCCCUCUAAUUCUACUGCCACCAGCAGUAUAUGGGAAUUUGCCCUUCUGGUUCAAAGCAAGUUUUCUCUUUGAAUUUCCUUUCUACAGUCGUAGUCUUCCACAAGAAGGAUUAAACUGGUAUAGAGCAAGUGGGGGAGAAAGCAGCAGCGGAUUGAAGAUGCAUUAGUGCACGACGAUUCUUUGACUUGCGAAGUUUCAUUUCUUUAUACUCCCUUAUAUGGUUCAUUAGUGUUUGAUCUUCUCUAUGGCAAGUAUGAUGAAGUGGAAUUCUGAUUUGCUAAUUUUCAAGCUGUCCUGUUAUCCCCAAUAAGGAUCAUAGUAGAACAUGUACAUAUGAUUGGUUGAUUCUGCAAGAAUUUGAGUCAUCAUUAUCUUCCCUUUUCUUCUUUUCUUUUGUAAGAGCAGUACAAUUUACAAAUAAGUUUGAAUUCAGUUUUGGAGAGAGCUCCAUGGCAUAUGGCCAAUAGGCCUCUGGUUCGCAAAUGAUGGCAGCCCAACCUAACACAGUCCAAGGAAGGUUUGAAAAAAGUUCCUAGCAAGAAAACUACUGCAGUAAUUAAAGCACUGCAUAUUAGAGCAAUGGCCUUUUAAAGCUCCAUCUCUUGAAGAUCAAGAAAGGACUUUGGAGGAGCUCAAGAAGCACAAAUUUUGCGAUAAUUGCAAUAUUGACUCUGAUUCUGAAAGGCACAUGGAAUGUUAGACAGAUAGUCUUGACUUCACUUGUAUU